RNAcentral lists this ribosomal RNA (392 nucleotides) under uncultured bacterium. RNAcentral's name for it is "bacterial SSU rRNA". It matches the Rfam family "Bacterial small subunit ribosomal RNA", at positions 30 to 420 of the family's 1533-position model. The record is from RNAcentral.
AUUGAACGCUGGCGGCAUGCCUUACACAUGCAAGUCGAACGGCAGCACGGGAGCUUGCUCCUGGUGGCGAGUGGCGAACGGGUGAGUAAUACAUCGGAACGUACCCUGAAGUGGGGGAUAACGUAGCGAAAGUUACGCUAAUACCGCAUAUUCUGUGAGCAGGAAAGAGGGGGAUCGCAAGACCUCUUGCUUUAGGAGCGGCCGAUGUCGGAUUAGCUAGUUGGUGAGGUAAAGGCUCACCAAGACGACGAUCCGUAGCGGGUCUGAGAGGAUGAUCCGCCACACUGGGACUGAGACACGGCCCAGACUCCUACGGGAGGCAGCAGUGGGGAAUUUUGGACAAUGGGCGCAAGCCUGAUCCAGCCAUGCCGCGUGAGUAAAGAAGGCCUCGG